Molecule: ribosomal RNA, 468 nt
Filed under: uncultured bacterium
Lineage: Bacteria
Description: partial 16S ribosomal RNA
Rfam family: Bacterial small subunit ribosomal RNA
Source: RNAcentral
GACGAACGCUGGCGGUGUGCUUAACACAUGCAAGUCGAACGGUAAGGCCCUUUCGGGGGUACACGAGUGGCGAACGGGUGAGUAACACGUGAGUAACCUGCCCUCAUCUCUGGGAUAACAGUCGGAAACGGUUGCUAAUACUGGAUAUGAGCUUGCAAGGCAUCUUGUGGGUUGGAAAGAUUUUUUUUGGUUGGGGAUGGACUCGCGGCCUAUCAGCUUGUUGGUGAGGUAGUGGCCCACCAAGGCUUCGACGGGUAGCCGGCCUGAGAGGGCGACCGGCCACAUUGGGACUGAGAUACGGCCCAAACUCCUACGGGAGGCAGCAGUGGGGAAUAUUGCACAAUGGACGGAAGUCUGAUGCAGCAACGCCGCGUGCGGGAUGACGGCCUUCGGGUUGUAAACCGCUUUCAAUUGUGACGAAGCUUUUUUGUGACGGUAGCAGUAGAAGAAGCACCGGCUAACUACGUG